UUCCUGUGGCUGCCGUAAUAAAUUACUAAAACCUUAGUAGCUUAAAACAACGUAAUUUAUUCUCUCGCAGUUGUGGGGGCCAGAAGUCUGAAAACAGUUUCCCUGGGCCAACAUCAAGAGUUGGCAGAGCUGCACUCACUCAGGGGCUGGCGGGGAGAAUCUGUUACGCGCCUCUUCCAGGGUCCGGUGGCUAUGGCCACACCAACUCCGAUGUUCAAGGCCCGUGUUCUCAAGCCUCCCUCUACUGGUCUCCACACUGGGGCCUCCUCUGUGUGUUUUCAGAUCUCUCUUUGUCGUCUGAUUAUAACGAUGCAUGUGACUGUAUUUACAGCCCACCUAGAUACCGCAGGAUAAUCUUCCCAUCACAAGAUUCUUCAUCUGCUCACAUUGCCAAAAACUCCUGUUUUCCCCUCAUGUAAGGUAACACUGACAAGUUCCAGGUAUUAGAAUGGGAAUAUCUUUUGAGGGGCCAUUUCACAACCUUCCACAACCACAAACUCCUUACGCUGUUUGUUUACUUGCCCUCUCUGGGCCGGUUUCCCCACUUGUGAAGUGAGAGGGUUGGGUGAGAAGCCCUUCUGUGACCCUGACUUCAUUUACCUUGUCUCAAAGCCUAAUCUGCUGGGGCAGCCUUUCCCUGGUCCCGCCUCUCCUCUCAACCCUGGAGGUUGUGUCCAGGGUUGGGGGCGUGCCCUCCUUCCCACACAAGGCCAUUUCCUGGGGGGUUUCCAUUGCCUGAGGUGCUGGGUGGGUGUCUGCAAGGCCGCUGGAGCAGCCUGUGUUCUCACACAUGCAUGGCAGACCGGUCGGUUGUGUCUGCACCAACAUCCACCUAGCUCAGGAGCUUCAUUUAGAAGGGCCACGUGGCCCAGGCCCAUGAGAUGGAAGCAGGGCUGGAGAUGGGAGGGCAGAGAGGCAGGCAGAGCCUCUGCCUGGUAGCCCCCUCCCCUCACCCAGCUGCACAGCUCCCUACAGUAAAUGCAUGACCUCACGUCUGGCUGCCUGGCAUUCUGGAGAUCAUCCAAGAAGCUGAGGCAGGUGGGUAUCCCAAGUCCUCAGUGUGGAGCAACCACAGCCUGGGCAGUGCAGUCAGCCCAUUCCUCUGGGAUUUGAAAGCCCACCUCUGCGAGCCAGCUGCACGCCCUCACUCUGGCCUUUCUGCUGAGUGUGAGGCAGCCCUCAUGUGCCUCCUCUGUGAUGUUGUUUAUGGUCCUCUUGGACUGUGCAGCAACCUCUCCUCAACUCCCCCUCAGCAUCCCUGUGUCUCUUCUCCUUUCACCUUGGAAUCUGAGCACCAUCAGCAAUUACCCAAUUAUAGCUCAGCUUUGGGAGCCCUACACAAGUCAAGCACUGUGCUGAAUGCCUUACACAUGUGGUCUAUCUCAGGUCUCAAAAAAACAACCUAAGAAGUCUGUGUUAUUGCUUCCGUUUUUACGGGUAGGGGACUAGGGACUCAGAGAAGUCAUGGAUGGACCCAUGGCCACCGCACUCGACACGCGGCAGCCCGGGAUUUGACUCUCGGUUGGCCCCGCUCAAGCACAGGCUCGCUACCUCCACCCCUGAGCCAUCCCACACAGCAUUCUCGCCCCAACCAGAGAGGUCUCCCAUCU
RNAcentral lists this long non-coding RNA (1610 nucleotides) under Homo sapiens (human). RNAcentral describes it as "HSALNT0184685". Lineage: Eukaryota; Metazoa; Chordata; Mammalia; Primates; Hominidae. The record is from RNAcentral.